GACGAACGCUGGCGGCGUGCUUAACACAUGCAAGUCGAACGGAAAGGCCCUGCUUUUGUGGGGUGCUCGAGUGGCGAACGGGUGAGUAACACGUGAGUAACCUGCCCUUGACUUUGGGAUAACUUCAGGAAACUGGGGCUAAUACCGGCUAGGAGCUCCUGCUGCAUGGUGGGGGUUGGAAAGUUUCGGCGGUUGGGGAUGGACUCGCGGCUUAUCGGCUUGUUGGUGGGGUAGUGGCUUACCAAGGCUUUGACGGGUAGCCGGCCUGGGAGGGUGACCGGCGACAUUGGGACUGAGGUACGGACCAGACUGCAAUGGGAGGCAGCGGUGGGAAAUAUUGCACAAUGGGCGGAAGCCUGAUGCAGAGACGCCGCGUGCGGGAUGACGGCCUUCGGGUUGUAAACCGCUUUCGCCUGUGACGAAGCGUGAGUGACGGUAAUGGGUAAAGAAGCACCGGCUAACUACGUG
Molecule: ribosomal RNA, 468 nt
Filed under: uncultured bacterium
Lineage: Bacteria
Description: partial 16S ribosomal RNA
Rfam family: Bacterial small subunit ribosomal RNA
Source: RNAcentral